RNAcentral lists this long non-coding RNA (327 nucleotides) under Mytilus galloprovincialis (Mediterranean mussel). The record is from RNAcentral. Lineage: Eukaryota; Metazoa; Mollusca; Bivalvia; Mytilida; Mytilidae.
AGUGAUAAUGAACGCCAUACCAAUUUCCAAAUUGUACACAAGAAACUUAAAUUAAAAUAAUAAAAGACUAACAAAGGCCAGAGGCUCCUGACUUGGGACAGGCGCAAAAAUGCGGCGGGGUUAAACAUGUUUGUGAGAUCUCAACCCUCCCCCUAUACCUCUAACCAAUAGUAAAAGUAAACGCAUAACAAUACGCACAUUAAAAUUCAGUUCAAGAGAAAUCCGAGUCUGAUGUCCGAAGAUGUAACCAAAGAAAAUAAACAAAAUGACAAUAAUACAUAAAUAACAACAGACUACUACAAGUUAACUGAACUGCCAGCUCCAGAC